UACGUAGGGGGCGAGCGUUGUCCGGAAUUAUUGGGCGUAAAGAGCGUGUAGGCGGUUCGGUAAGUCCGCCGUGAAAACCUGGGGCUCAACCCCCGGGCGUGCGGUGGAUACUGUCGGGCUAGAGGAUGGUAGAGGCGAGUGGAAUUCCCGGUGUAGCGGUGAAAUGCGCAGAUAUCGGGAGGAACACCGGUAGCGAAGGCGGCUCGCUGGGCCAUUCCUGACGCUGAGACACGAAAGCGUGGGGAGCAAACAGGAUUAGAUACCCCGGUAGU
This 272-nucleotide ribosomal RNA is filed under the name uncultured bacterium. Its description in RNAcentral is "partial 16S ribosomal RNA". It matches the Rfam family "Bacterial small subunit ribosomal RNA", at positions 524 to 794 of the family's 1533-position model. The record is from RNAcentral.